UUUUUUUGUUUUUUUUUUUUUCCCCAGCGGUAAAGAGCCUUAAUUUGCUAAACUUUGAAACGAUGGCAUUUUGUCAGACUAAAAGACUUCGUGUAGGUGUACACAGAAUGUCAAGGAUGAGUCAAAGAUUAAUACCUAGAGCAAAGAGUAUGAUGGGAAUUUUAUGCCUCUGCCUUGGAAAUCAUGUUGGGGAAAGGCAAGUAUUGACUGAUUAGAGAGUGCUACUUAUAUUGGCUUGUAAUUUGAUCAGAUGGAUUACGCCCAGUUCCAAGUAUGGAGAAAGACUGAAGCCAUGCAUUUAAAUAGUUCUGCAAAUUCUGUCAAGCAUGGAGCGUAUCCAUUGGCAGGGGAGCGCCAGCUAUGUAAAAGGUCUCAAAAGUCUGGGAGUUCCUUUAUCUCAGGAUGCAUCACACCGUGAUCAUAAUAAGAAUUUUCCAAAUGCCCAAAUCAUGCUAUAAUUGGAGUUCCAGUAAUCUCAAAAGUGAUCUACCAGCAGAAUGAUGUUUUUUAAAUUAAAUUCUUUAUAAGUAUAUGCAUUUUUGGUAUUCAGUAGCUGCUCGUUAAGUUCUUCAAGUUACCUCGGGUCACUGUGGAUGGGAUGAAAGAACUGCAAGACUCCCUCUGUCCUUGAAGAUCUGAAACAUUCAAUAAAAACAAUUAGACUUGUGUCCCUAGGGAAAAUAUCUUGAUGAUACAAUAAAAUGGCACUAAAAAUGAGAAAAAUCUGUAAAGCCACAAAGCUCAAGGUUCUAAAGAUUGCGUGACAGCAGGCAUAUUGGGAGGGUAAAGGAGCUACACGUGGUUGACUAUCUGUGCAAUAGUUUAAAGAAAUCAUUAUGUCUGUUUAAGGACAUAGAAUCUUGGCCUGAGAAGUAUUAUUGUCACGUAAUUCCUUUAAUUUAGAGCCUGGGCAUAAUUAUGUGCUCAUGACAAUUCUUGCUAUGGGGUAGAUAAAAACAUGGUUGCUUGUCUCACCUGAACACAUUAAUUUUGCAAAGAGAGUUCCCGUCGUGGCGCAGUGGUUAACGAUCGGGCGUUGCCCUGAGCUGUGGUGUAGGUUGCAGACGCGGCUUGGGUCCCGAGUUGCUGUGGCUCUGGCGUAGGCCGGUGGCUACAGCUCCGAUUCGACCCCUAGCCUGGGAACCUCCAUAUGCCGCAGGAGUGGCCCAAGAAAUAGCAAAAAGACAAAAAAAAAAAAAAAAAAAAAAGAAAAUGUAAAGGGAGCCCAUUUGGUAAUAUCCACCCCGAGCCGUGUCUGUUCCCUGGUGUUUUAGGAGGGUGGCUGCCUUUAGAAGGAAGUAGGCUAUUGCAGAUGGAAGAGAGUUGACUGUGUGAUAGACUUCGUGUGUGCUCCCAUGGGCUCGGCUUUCAAAAAACCUCAUUUCAUUUUCAGGAGACUCCUGUUGGGUGGUUGAUGGAUCAGACUUUGACAGACUGAAACAAUAAAUUGAGGCUCACAGAGAUAAAGUUAUUUGCCUAAAAUGACACAAAGGAGAAUUUCAAAGUCAGUUGUUUUCUAAAGAGCAGUUUUUGUUUGUUUUUUUAUACUAUUGUGCCAACAAACCCGGUUUUUUAACCUAAAUUCCCUAAAGGAGGCGAUGUUUGCUACCUAGAUGAUGGAGCAUUUGGCUACUUGAUUGAAAGGCAAUGAAUCUACUUUCAAAGAAAUCCACAAGUGGUUCGGGGUUCUCACUUUAACACCUUUCUUUGGGUCUUCAAUAUCAAGGUUUAGGAAUUAGGAAUGUGGCCCCUGAUUCAGAUUUUGGCUCAGCCGCUUACCAGCUCUGUGACCUUGAGCAAGUAAACCAACCUUUUUAUUAGACCUCUUUUUCCUUUUUAUGAAAACAAUUAGCAAUAACUCCCACAACAUCCAUUUGAGGUUGGAACUAAGUGGGCCAUGCUCACGAAAUGCUUAGAACAGUACCAGGCAUGUGGCAAAGGGUCAGUCAAUAUUAGCUGUUAUUAUCCUCAUUGUUCUCAAUUUUUUUUUUUUUUAGGGCCGCAUAUUGAAAUUCCCAGGCUAGGGGUUGAAUCAGAGCUGCAGCUGCCUGCCUACACCACAGCCAGAGCAAACACGGGAUCCUUAACCCCCUGAGCUAGGCCAGAGGUCAAACUGGCAUCCCCUCGGAUACUACGUCCGGUUCUUAACCUGCUGAGUCACAACGGGAACUCCAUGAUUCUCAAAUUUUGAUCUCUUAACCAACCAGCGGUCCCAAGCUGCAGACUCAUAUAUCCUCCUGAUGCUGCUGGUGAGAAUGUUUUCCUGGAUAGUUGCAGACCUCUCCAGCCUCUCAUGUGCAAAAUAGAGCUCACCAUUGACAAGUUAAAACAAAUAGCUGGGUGCAGGGAGUGGUGAGCAAGCCCUGAGUAAAUGUUAGUGGUUAUUGUUACGAAGCCCCGAGCUAGUCUCUCCUGAAUUCUUCUCUUCCUAAAGGGCACAUCAUCAUCCAGAGAAGCUCAUCCAGAAAGCUGAGUGUUGUCCCAAAUUCCCGAAUUUUCUCCUUCCAGCAAGAUCCAGCCAGUCCCUGCCUCCAUUCAAUUUUUUUCCCCUCGCAAGUAGCGUUUAUGCCUUCAGUUCCCAAUGCCUCAUCGUUUUGGCUUUAGUUUAUUUGAACGGGUUUCUAACGAUCUCUGGGAUACGGGGCAGGUCUCCCACAACUCACUCCCUUCAGUGAUGCUAAAGCGAAUCCUUACAAUUCACACUGAGCAUGUCAUUCACUUGCCCGAAAUCCUUCACUAACGUGCAUCCAGCCUGCAGGAUGUGCCUCUCCCUCCUUUCUGGCCGUGGUAAACAAAGCCACCUUCCGCCCCAGCCUUGCUUCCCGGAUGUACCAGAAGUGGCAGCCACACGGUCUUCGGAAAUUUUCCGUGCAUUUUCAUUCCUAAGUGCCAUUUAAAAAAAAAAAAAUUUAAUGAUUUUUUUCCCCAUUAUAGCUGGUUUACGGUGGUUUGUCAAUUUUCUACUGUGCAGCAAGGUGACCCAGUCACACAUACACAUAUACAUUCUUUUUUCUCACGUUAUCAUGCUCCACCAAAAGUGACUAGAUAUCCUAAGGUCCAUUGUAAACACUGUUUUUUAAAUCCAGAAUGGGUUUUCCUCAUCGCCAAGGAAAUAUUUUCAUCCCAAAGGCUGGGAAACAAUGAUUCUCUGAAUACAUUUUUAAAAUUUCAAGUGCAUAUCAUGAGUCUUUGGGGAGCUAAAGAUUUGCCGAUUAGUGGGUGAACAGAAUUCAACUAAGAUAGGCUUAGCAAAGAGGGCAGAAAUUGUUAUUGCUAAUGGCUUUUAUUUUUUAUUAAAUUAUUAUUAUUUUUGUCUUUUUAGGGCUGCACCUGCAGCAUAUGGAGAUUCCAGGCUAGGGGUCAAAUCAGAGUUGUAGCUGCUGGCCUCCACCACAGCCACAGAAACAGCAAAUCUGGACAGGAUCUGUGACCUUCACCACAGCUCACAGCAACACCUGAUUCUUAACCUACUGAGUGAGGCCAGGGAUGGAACCUGCCUCCUCAUGGAUGCUAGUCAGAUUUGUUUCCACUGAGCCAUGAUGGGAACUCCACUGAUGGCUUUUAAAGUAGAAAUGAGUAUCAACCUUUGGAUGCUGAGAAAAAUAUGAUCAAAGUCUUUUUCUCAAGGAAUUAUGAACCUAUGAAAAACCCAGACUGUAAACAUUACUGGCACCACUACCGUGGAAAAGGCAAUAGAGCUAUACAUUGAAUUGUCAGUCUCCUUAUGUCCUAGGUGUCUUGCAGAAUCUGAUGUUAGUUUUUACAUUGCUUACUGGCAUUGAUUCAAACACAUGCCUUUUUGUAUCAUCUUCAUAGAAAAUUAUUCCCUGAUCCCUCUCCAGGGUUUGAUCCUAAAAUGGCAGUUAACACAUCAACAGAAAAAUAAAAGAAAAAUUGUUUUAAAAAAUCUAGGAAGGGGUGAUUAUACCAAAAUAUUCAAGGAAGAGAAGCAAAGUUCUUAGCAUUCCAGGAAGUGGUUGAGAUAAAUAUUUUGCAUGCAAAAAUUCAAUAACAGAUCAUCUUUGCUAUGUCAAUGUCUUUUUAAAAAAAAAAAAAAAAACGGUCUCAUCCAUGACAUAUGGAAAUUCCUGGGCCAGGAAUCAAACCUGCACCUCUACAGUGACAUGGGUUGCUGCAGUUUGAUUCUUAACCCACUGCACCAUAGCAGGAACUCCCAAUCUGUCUUUAAUACACAGCUUGUAAAUGUAAACUUAGAAGAUUCUGAAAGGAAGCAUAUUUUGAAUGAUCUAUCUAAAACAGUCCCAAAUUAAGAAGUCAGUCUAAAACCUUCAAAACAGAACGAGUUUGGCCUUGCCUAGGAACAGUGAUCUUUGGUCAUUUCUUCUUCUUCUUCCAGGAUACACUCCAAACUCCCUAGUGUGACACCCAGGACCUCUGUAGUUUUCUCUUUCAGCAGUUGCCCGAUAUCAUUGCUUCUCCACGAACAUCACCCCUUCUAGUCAGACCAAAAUUGCUGGUUUCUUAAGGCAUCCGCUGCUUUCUCAGGCCUCCUUGCCUUUGUACAUGGUUGUCCUUCUGCCCAGUGUACUUUCCCUGUAUAAGUCUCUUUCAUCUUUCAAUACUCUGCACUAAUUACUAGAGAUUGACUUAAUAUCCUGCCUAGAUUUCCUUCUUGGAUAUUCUAUAAUACCAGUCUGUGUUUCUGUUGUACAUAUGCACUGGCUUGUAAUGGUGAUGAAGAUGGUGAUGAAGAUGACGGUGAUGAAGAUGAAGAUGAUGAUGGUGAUGAAGAUGGUGAUGAAGAUGAUGGUGGUGAUGAAGAUGAUGGUGGUGAUGAAGAUGAUGAAGAUGAAGAUGGUGAUGAAGAUGGUGAUGAAAACGAUGGUGAUGAAGAUGGUGAUGAAGAUG
Molecule: long non-coding RNA, 4869 nt
Filed under: Sus scrofa (pig)
Lineage: Eukaryota; Metazoa; Chordata; Mammalia; Artiodactyla; Suidae
Description: lncRNA (ENSSSCG00065028332.1)
Source: RNAcentral